AGAGUUUGAUCCUGGCUCAGAUUGAACGCUGGCGGCAGGCCCAACACAUGCAAGUCGAACGGUAACGGGAAGCAGCUUGCUGCUUCGCUGACGAGUGGCGGACGGGUGAGUAAUGUCUGGGAAGCUGCCUGAUGGAGGGGGAUAACUACUGGAAACGGUAGCUAAUACCGCAUAAUGUCGCAAGACCAAAGAGGGGGACCUUCGGGCCUCUCGCCAUCGGAUGUGCCCAGAUGGGAUUAGCUUGUUGGUGGGGUAACGGCUCACCAAGGCGACGAUCCCUAGCUGGUCUGAGAGGAUGACCAGCCACACCGGAACUGAGACACGGUCCAGACUCCUACGGGGGGCAGCAGUGGGGAAUAUUGCACAAUGGGCGCAAGCCUGAUGCAGCCAUGCCGCGUGUAUGAAGAAGGCCUUCGGGUUGUAAAGUACUUUCAGCGGGGAGGAAGGGAGUAAAGUUAAUACCUUUGCUCAUUGACGUUACCCGCAGAAGAAGCACCGGCUAACUCCGUGCCAGCAGCCGCGGUAAUACGGAGGGUGCAAGCGUUAAUCGGAAUUACUGGGCGUAAAGCGCACGCAGGCGGUUUGUUAAGUCAGAUGUGAAAUCCCCGGGCUCAACCUGGGAACUGCAUCUGAUACUGGCAAGCUUGAGUCUCGUAGAGGGGGGUAGAAUUCCAGGUGUAGCGGUGAAAUGCGUAGAGAU
RNAcentral lists this ribosomal RNA (700 nucleotides) under uncultured bacterium. RNAcentral describes it as "bacterial SSU rRNA". It matches the Rfam family "Bacterial small subunit ribosomal RNA", at positions 8 to 697 of the family's 1533-position model. The record is from RNAcentral.